This 2247-nucleotide ribosomal RNA is filed under the name human gut metagenome. Its description in RNAcentral is "bacterial LSU rRNA". It matches the Rfam family "Bacterial large subunit ribosomal RNA", at positions 14 to 2120 of the family's 2925-position model. The record is from RNAcentral.
AGGGCGUAUGGUGGAUGCCUUGGCAGACAGGACCGAUGAAGGACGUUUGAGGCUGCGAUAUGCCUCGGGGAGCCGCCAACAGGGCUUUGAUCCGAGGAUUUCCGAAUGGGGGAACCCACCGACCGUCAUGGGUCGGUACCGGCUUCGGCCGGGGGGUACGCAGGGAAGUGAAACAUCUCAGUACCUGCAGGAAAGGAUAUUCCGUGAGUAGUGGCGAGCGAAAGCGGAUGAUGGCCAAACCUUGCGCGUGUGAUACCCGUCGGGGGUUGCGCGCGGGGUGUUGCGGGAUCGCGUGCGCCGGCUCCGACGGGCCGGCCGGCAGUUGCAGAAAACCAUGUGUCAGGGGAACCGGGUUGAAUACCGGGCCGCAGAGGGUGAGGGCCCCGUACCUGAACGCGCAUGGUCUGCCGAUCGCGUCUCCCAAGUAGCACGGGUCCCGUGGAACCCCGUGCGAAUCCGCCCAGACCGUUGGGUAAGCCUGAAUAUUCCUGUCUGACCGAUAGCGAACGAGUACCGUGAGGGAAAGGUGAAAAGUACCCCGGGAGGGGAGUGAAACAGUCUCUGAAACCGUGCGCCUACAAUCCGUCGGAGCCCUUUUGUGGGGUGACGGCGUGCCUAUCGAAAAAUGAGUCUGCGAGUCAGUGGCAUGUGGCGAGCAUAACCCGUGUGGGGUAUGCGUAGCGAAGGCGAGUCUUAAAAGGCGUUUGAGUCGCGUGUCCUGGACCCGAAGCGGGAUGAUCUAGCCCUGAGCAGGUUGAAGCGCGGGUAAGACCGCGUGGAGGACCGAACCCACCUGGGUUGAAAACCGGGGGGAUGACUUGGGGCUAGGGGUGAAAGGCCAAUCAAAUUCCGUGAUAGCUGGUUCUCUCCGAAAUGCAUUUGGGUGCAGCGUCGGGUCAUUACGUCCCGGGGGUAGAGCUACUGGAUGCUUGCGGGCCCGUAUCGGGUACCAACAGCAACCAAACUCCGAAUACCGGUGACGCGUAUCCCGGCAGUGAGUCGGCGGGGGAUAAGCUUCGUCGUCGAAAGGGAAACAGCCCAGACCGUCGUCUAAGGUCCCGAAGCGUGUGCUAAGUGGGAAAGGAUGUGGAGUCGCAUAGACAGCCAGGAGGUUGGCUCAGAAGCAGCCACCCUUGAAAGAGUGCGUAACAGCUCACUGGUCUAGUGGUUCCGCGCCGACAAUGUAGCGGGGCUCAAGCACACCACCGAAGACGCGGCAGUAUUUUGUACUGGGUAGGAGAGCGUCCCAUGAGGGGCGAAGCGGCCGUGUGAACGCGCCGUGGACUUCAUGGGAGUGAGAAUGCAGACAUGAGUAGCGAGAGACGGGUGAAGAUCCCGUCCGCUGGAUGACCAAGGGUUCCAGGGCCACGUUCAUCGUCCCUGGGUGAGUCGGGUCCUAAGGCGAGGCCGACAGGCGUAGUCGAAUGGAUGAACGGGUCGAUAUUCCCGUACCGGCUUUCAGCCGCCAAAACCGAGGCUUGGAGUACUAACCUCCGGGUCCGGGCUUACUGCUCCUUCGGGGGCGGGAUGCCCUGGCCUGUUGGGACCGAUCCUUGUAGUAGGUCAGCGCAGGAGUGACGCAGAAGGGUAGCCGGCCGCGGAGGUGGUCUUCCGUGGUCAAGCACGCAGGGCGUGGGACAGGCAAAUCCGUCCCGCAUGGGUCCGAGGUGCGAUGAUGGGGGCCUUAUGGCCCGAUAUCCGGUGAUCCCGGCUGCCGAGAAAAGCUUCGGCGUCAGGCUCAAAGCCGCCCGUACCCCAAACCGACACUGGUGGUCAGGUAGAGAAUACCAAAGCGAUCGAGCGAAUCCUGGUCAAGGAACUCGGCAAAUCACUCCCGUUCCUUCGGUUUAAGGGAGACCCCCGAUGGUGAACACACUUGCUGUGGGAGCUUUUGGGGGUGGCACAGACCAGGGGGUAGCGACUGUUUACCAAAAACACAGGUGCAUGCGAAGGCGCAAGCCGCUGUAUAUGCACUGACGCCUGCCCGGUGCCGGAAGGUUAAGAGGAUCCGUCAGUCCCUUCGGGGACGAAGCGGUGAAUUCAAGCCCCGGUAAACGGCGGUGGUAACUAUAACCAUCCUAAGGUAGCGAAAUUCCUUGUCGGGUAAGUUCCGACCUGCACGAAUGGCGUAACGACUUCCCCACUGUCUCGACCAGGAGCUCGGCGAAAUUGCAGUACGAGUAAAGAUGCUCGUUAAGCGCAGAAGGACGAAAAGACCCCGGGACCUUUACUAUACCUUGGUAUUGG